UAGCACGGGAGGACGUUAUUUUGCCCGUGUGAUUGCGAGUGAGAUCUCGCGCGUGAGUUGAGCGCGUGAGCCGCGUGCGUGAGUUGAGCGCGUGAGCCGCGUGCGUGAGUUGAGCGCGUGAGCCGCGUGCGUGCCGAUGGCUCGCUGUGUUUACAGCGGGACAGGCGGGAGGAGGAGGAGGAGGGGGCGUGCAAGCUGAACGCGUCGUCGCCGUCGUGGUCUCGCGCUCGCGACGGCAGCAGCAGCUGGGAGUGAUCCUGGCUGGGAACGGUGGAGCGUUUUGCGCAAACAGCUGCGGAGCGGAGGUGACGUGAUGGCCCACACAUUCGAUUGCGCGGUGCCAAUGCCGGAGCUGCGUCGAACACGCAACGGAGUUCACGUGCGGAAUGUCCUUUCCAUCGACGUGGAAAAAAGGUAAGUUGCCGACUGAAAAAGGGAUCUUUAUCCACCCACGCAUGCCUCACGGUGAUGGAUCGGGACGCCCACAUGGCCCUUAUUCCACCGAGCGGAGUCAAUAAAGUCCUCGCGGCCGCCCCAUUCAUCUUGGCGCUGGGAACAGCCAGUCCUGCGCCCAUAAAUACUGGGCCGUAAGCAGCUUUGUAAAUAAUUAACCGAGAGCCCGAAGGAAACGGCGCAGGAUAAAUAGGCGGGGACUCAAAGCCAUGCACAGAGCUGGGAUAACAGAUGGAUACCUUCAGGAAGUUCUUUAAUUCUUUCAUUAAAAAAAAACAUUCCUUAGAUCUACCAACCUCCAGGUUGCAAAUCUAGAGUGGAGGAAAAGUGCCAGGAGUUACACAGGACUACCUAAACAAUUAUGCUGGUAGCUAGAGAGGCUUUAAAUUGCACAAUGCCCAGCCACGUACAGAUAUAUUUUUGCAACUCCCCCACCACCCAUCCUUUUGCUUUUUAGAAACGCUUUUCUGUUUUGCGUGUAUUUAAUCAUAACGUUAAUUACGUCUGCAAUGGUGUCUAAGUGGAUUAUGAAUGAAGCUAAUGUGGCAUAUUUUAACUGUGAGUUUAAUGGUGUGCGUAAGCUGUUGUUCACUGCUCUGUGAUGACACACGGACGCACAGAAGCCAAAAGGAGGAGACGGUGGUUGUAUCCUUCUCGUGAUGCCUCGCAGGGUUGAUGGCUCAUGAUUGAUGAUCACCAAUGGCUUGAUGAGUUCAAAGUUCAAAGGCAAGAUACCACCAUCUCCGAAGCUCACCCGGCCUAUUGAUAGGAAAGAUCGUUUAAAUAUAUAAGGUAUACUCAGAAUACAUAACUGAAGAUUAGUAUUUGAAUUUUACAAAACUGAGAUUUUUUUACUUAAAAACUUUAAUCUCUGUGUAUUAGGUGAGCAAUGGGAUAUUAUGCGUUUUAUUCCUCUAUGUGACAUGGCUCUACGAUUUAUUAAGCAUCUUUACUUUUAAGAACAUGUGUGCAUCUGUACAAAUCACGGCAUACUAAGAACACCCUGCAGAGCACAUGUCUUCACAGUGGUUUCACUAAUGUAAAAGUAUGUGUGUGUCUAUAUAUAAACAUAAGUCUUUUAUAAAGCAGAUUUCACAGGAGUCUAAAUCUAGACGUACUUGCCCUGUCGAACAAAGGGACACGUGGUGCCUUCCACUGUGGUUGAGAUACAACUAAAGCCACACCUCCUGUCCCCCCCUCUGCCUCAACCCUUCCCCACAAUACAGCCCCUCCUCCACAGCCUCCUGUAUUUCCACUAAACCUGCCCACCCACUGGCUACCUAUCACCCCCCUACCCAUCUACCCAAUGCCUACACCCCCCCCCCCCCCCCAGCUUCCUUCGCCCCCCUCCAUCCGUCUCCCUCUCCGGCUGGAACUUGCUGAUUAAGCUUCUGUCUGAGCCGCUGCAAAUCCCACGCUGAGAGGCAGGAAGGAGGAUUACGUAGGGUCCCCCUGCUUUAUUAAUGCUGAAUGCUUCAUUUGUUUCACACUGCCGCAAGAUAGCUACGGAGGAGGGAGGCAGCACCGAGGCUUGGGUGCAUUCAUUUGUCUCGUGCACGCAGUCUCGCGACAAUGAAAUGUUUUGCUUGCACUCGUGCAUCAUAAAGUGGCAGCCGCGAUUAAUUGUAACUUUGUGGCCCAACAAAUAAUGUUUUAAGUUAAGGUGACUAUUGUUUUGUUAUUUGUGUGUCUAUGUGUGGAUUAGCACAUGGAGUAUGUUCGUACUGGACAGUAUCUCUGCUAGGUGUCCUGAGCCAUUGUUUUAAAUUCUACAUGGGAACUAGUGGUGCAGCCUCACACUGAGAAUGAUCCUUUUAACGACCUUACAGAUUUUAUAGGUUGAGUCAAACCUGCAUAGGAUUUCAAAUAAUUUUACAAAGAUCUCAAAGCUCUUAAUUAGCAACAAAGCUGUAUCCCACCAUUAAAAUAGUAAUUAUAAUAAUUGUCGGUAGCACUUUGCCAGUUCAAUACUGGAUUAAGCACCCCCCCCCCCCCCCACUGUGAUGGUCAAGGGGUUGUUUGACCACAGUUCACUCCACUUACUGUAUCACUGUGGCGGGGGUGUAAUGGGGGUUUGGGUGGCCAAGAUCAGUUCAAACAUCACUUGCCACUCGUGUUAUGCAGAGCAAGGAAUUAAACCCGGGUCACGGGGCUUAUAGAGCAGUAUGCUAACCACAUCCAGUUCAAAAUGUUAUUGAUGCUAUAUAUAUGAAUAUCCUGGAUACGCACUUGCAUACACACACACACGUGUAAUUAUUUAUUUUAGCCCACCCUACCAUAAAAUAUAUGGUGUAUUGUGGCGUCAACCUCGAUGGCUUUAUCACUGACAUGCAUGAAAAAUUCCCCAUAGGAAAAUUAAACGUUUCGUUUUUUAGAUAAAUAAAAUUGCACAAUGUCAUUGCCUUAGCAAAAUAUAAUUAGAACGUAAUGUUUUAAUGUGCACACUCCCAAAACUAACAAUUUCAAGCAUGUUUAUGGAAAAUAUAUUACACUGGUACAGUUGAGACUUUGUUUUGUUGUAUUACAAACCCCCUGUCUAUUAGUUUUUAGUAGAUUUUAACUCGGAACUAAUUUUUGUUGAAAGGAAAAAAUAAUGUUUUAAUUGAAACGUUAACUUACUCAAAACAUUAAUAAAACACUCAAAGAGUUAGUUUAGUCUCAAGAGGAGCAUUUAUUCCACCCCGCCCAUUGCUUUAAGUGGCUAAAAUAUUACAAGAAAAAAAGCAAAAAAAAUGUUUGUUGGCAUAUAAUUAAAUAAAUGCCCCAUAGUGUAUCCCCCCCAGUAGGUGUUUAUAUAUCAACGUGAAUUAAAACAGCAUUCUCGGUAAUUUUGAAAGCUUUAUUCAUCCAGAAACUAUAUCAGUUACAUGAAGAAUUAUAUCACAGUUUUAUAUUUAUUAUUGUUAUAAGGGCAUUGUGUUGUCAUGACGUAUGUUGUGGGUCUUGCGAGAGCUGAUCAUUUUCAGAGAUUUCUGACGUCACGUGGGCGUAUUCCAUGGAAAUAAUUACGUCCUGCCGGUAAGGCAGCCAGAGUUGGCCUGUUUAUUUAAAUGGUGACAUUUCAGCCCAGAUAAGGGUUUGGCCCGAUGCGUUUGAAGGCUGCAUUUUAAUUGCGACUUUCUCUAACGAUGAAUCAAGGCCGCUCGAAAUUGCAACUGAAGAACGCGCUGAUGAGACAGUUGAUUGACAGUUACGCACAGCGCUCGCGAUUGCUCUGGAUAUUAAUCAUCCCAUCAUCCCAUGACGACAUCACCGUCGGCCUGGGAUUCCAAGCACCGAAAUAGCAGUCAGUGCGCUCGUACACACGGUUUAAAUGUACCGUUACGUGAAACGAUUGCGAUACUAUUCGCAAGCAACAUGGUGGCCUUUGGAAGGGGCCUUCAGGUUGCAUGUGCAUUACACUACAUAUAUUAUGCUACGUGUAAAUGAGACAUACUUGGGUGUAACAGAUGCAAAGCACUCUAAACGGCUUAUUUAAAUUCUUCUUCCCAACAUGUUUGGACAUGCUGGUACACUUACACAGUAGCCAUGAGUUAUUCAUCAGAGGGUAUUAGAGGACAAUCCACUACACUCGGUUGACUUAUAAAAGCAAUGACACCUUGUUACAAUAAGCCAAUAGCAUCACGUGUUGAGCUCCAACCUAUGACACCGGCUGAGUCUAGCACUGAGGUGACAAUCGAACAGGAAGCAGAUACCACCACUGUGAUAUUCCAUUUGCUAUGAUGCUAUUGUAUAUUUCUUCAUGAAUACUAUUUGACCUCCCUGCGAGGAAACUUUCGGGGCAUUUUUUGACAAAUCUCCUCGACCACCUUUGUCCACCGAGCAGUAGAAAUGGGCAACACCUCAGUCAAUCGGCAGGUCACGUGCGAGCUCGUAACGGGUGGGUUACUUCCACCUCUUCCAAGACAUCUAGUCAGCGUGCAAGAGUAGGUCGAAAUAUUCUAGCGGGGCCCUUUAGAGCUCCCUCGAGGGGAGACCUUUUCGGCUGCAGCUGUACCUUUGAACAUCUGGCCUGGUGGCACUGUCAGCGUUUUCCAUUCAGUGGCUGGUCUCUGCCAUGAGAAUGUGGAAUUUUCCAUCAACGGCUCAGGGUUACCAAUGGAGACGCUCGCUGCCACAAUGUACGACUGAACGAGGAGACGCACCCGCAAUUGAACUUAUUUUGAAUUUUGAAACGUCUGCGUACAUGAAAAGUAUAAAAUGCCAUAGGUAAAAAAAUCAAACACUUGGAAUAACCUGUGUCCUGUAUUUGAAUGUCACGACUGUACACGUGAAUGGAAAUAUCUUAAGGUGAGAGAAAUGUUUACAUGUUAAGUUACUUUACGCUUGACUCUUAAAAUUAAACAUCCUGCUCCAUAACUUACGGCCUAGCGGUUUGUCAAGCCUCCUUAGAGCUUUGUUAUGGUAACCCACUCCCUUUGUGUUCACGUUGUAAAAAAAAAAGCACAGAUUUAAAAUAAAUAAAGGAAAUUGGUAAAAAUAAACAUGUUUUAAGCACUGGAAUUGACAAAUAAGUAAAUGCUGAUGAAUUAACUUUUCACUGUGUGUGUUUUGCUCUCACGGGCCCCAGGUUUUGCUGAGUCCCCUAACUAAAGACGUUGCCAACAAAAACUACAAACGGCAUUCGCCGAACACGCAAGGGUGAAUAAAGGCAUGCAAUGUCUCACACACACACACACACCUCCGCAUAUCAGGCAUUUGUUGAAAUAAUCGUGGUUCAGUGCAAAGCAAUGUAAUUCAGGUGUUGUUUUUUUUUUACCGUUGCCAACAUUUCAGUUACGUGUUCAACACAAUAGUUAGCACACUGGGCUUGAAAUCCAAAAGUCAUUGGUUCAAAUAAAUCUCCGGGUGCGGCAGUUUAAACCAUGGGCACGUUUCUGAAAUGCCUCUGCUCAGUCCACGCAGCAGUAUAAACAGGUACGACCACAGUUCGUCGGUCGGCAGCUCGCGUCUGGUGCGGUCAAGUUUGGGUACUCCAAACUCUUCCAAAACGUUUUGUCAGAGUGAAAGAAUUGGCCACAAUAUCGUCGAGAGGAGGACCAUCCGCUAGCAGUGACAUGAGCACGAAUUUUAACGGUUGCAUUUCUACCUUUGGUGUGCCACGGUGGCGAGAUUGUAACAACCGCGCCUGUGAUGAAGGAGGUUGUGGGUUCGAUCCUCGACGCUGACACCUGUAUAUUUGGAGUCUGCGUGUCUGUUUCUCCCCCGUG
Molecule: long non-coding RNA, 5663 nt
Organism: Petromyzon marinus (sea lamprey)
Lineage: Eukaryota; Metazoa; Chordata; Hyperoartia; Petromyzontiformes; Petromyzontidae
Source: RefSeq, a predicted model, not a curated record